AGCAGCCGCGGUAAUUCCAGCUCCAAUAGCGUAUAUUAAGGUUGUUGCAGUUAAAAAGCUCGUAGUUGAAUUUCGGGGUCAGUAGGCUGGUCGUGCCACAGGUAUGUACUGGUCUUACUGAUUCCUCCUUCCUGAUGAACCGUAAUGCCAUUAAUUUGGUGUUACGGGGAAUCUGGACUGUUACUUUGAAAAAAUUAGAGUGUUUAAAGCAGGCUAACGCUUGAAUACAUUAGCAUGGAAUAAUGAAAUAGGACGAUCGAUCCUAUUUUGUUGGUUUCUAGGAUUGACGUAAUGAUUAAUAGGGAUAGUUGGGGGCAUUAGUAUUCAAUUGUCAGAGGUGAAAUUCUUGGAUUUAUUGAAGACUAACUACUGCGAAAGCAUUUGCCAAGGAUGUUUUCAUUAAUCAAGAACGAAAGUUAGGGGAUCGAAGACGAUCAGAUACCGUUGUAGUCUUAACCAUAAACUAUGCCGACUAGGGAUCGGAUGAUGUUAAUUUUUAAUGACUCAUUCGGCGCCUUAC
Molecule: ribosomal RNA, 520 nt
Filed under: uncultured Glomus
Lineage: Eukaryota; Fungi; Glomeromycota; Glomeromycetes; Glomerales; Glomeraceae
Description: SSU rRNA
Rfam family: Eukaryotic small subunit ribosomal RNA
Source: RNAcentral